UGUCUUUUUGAAAAUAAUAUAAAGUCUAAUCUGCCCACUGAUUGAUAAUUAAAGGGCUGCAGUAUUUUGACUGUACAAAGGUAGCAUAAUCAUUAGUCAUUUAAUUGAUGACUUGUAUGAAAGAUUGGAUGAAAUAUAAACUGUUUCUUAAUUAAAUAUAGAAUUUAAUUUUUUUAUUAAAAAGUUAAAAUAAUUUAAAAAGACGAGAAGACCCUAUAGAGUUUAAUAAAUAAAAAAAAUUGAGAUUAUUUAUAAAUAUUAAAAUUAAAAUUUAAUUAUUUAUUUUGUUGGGGUGACAAAAAAAUUUAUUUAACUUUUUUAAAAGUAAAACAUUAAUAAGUGGGUUAUUGAUCCAGUUAUACUGAUUAUAAGAAAAAAUUACCUUAGGGAUAACAGCGUAAUUUUUUUUUUUAGUUCAAAUAAGAAAAAGAGUUUGCGACCUCGAUGUUGGAUUAAGAUAAAAUUUAAAUGUAGAAG
Molecule: ribosomal RNA, 477 nt
Filed under: Acrapex robe
Lineage: Eukaryota; Metazoa; Arthropoda; Insecta; Lepidoptera; Noctuidae
Description: partial large subunit ribosomal RNA
Source: RNAcentral